RNAcentral lists this long non-coding RNA (1471 nucleotides) under Ananas comosus (pineapple). RNAcentral describes it as "long non-coding RNA (ACOM_LNC000373)". Lineage: Eukaryota; Viridiplantae; Streptophyta; Magnoliopsida; Poales; Bromeliaceae. The record is from RNAcentral.
AGUUGUAGUUUUUUAUUAUUAUACAUACUGAUUGUUGUAUCUCGCUAGAGCGAGUGGUUUUGUGUACCAGGAUACUAUGUAUGUAUAGUGAAUCUCUGUUAUUAUAUAUGUUUUUCUUUUUAGCAGCUCUAUACUACUGGUUGUAGUGUUGUAUGAUUACAGAUACAGCUAUCGCUUCGUAUACAGAAAAAAUAUCUAUAUAUACGGCGGGUCUGUUAGCAUGCUCGGUAAAACGAAUAAUCCGGGGUGUGACAAAUCUGGCACGAAAGACGAGAUGAAAUCAUAGGUGAGAACGGAUUAAUUAACGUGUGGCCUAGAGAAGGAACGGAUAAAUUACUUUUCGGUUAAUUUCAUAGAUACCCUCUUACCCACCCCUAAUUACAUGAAUACGCUCCAACAAAAACUAUUAAUAUCAAAAAUGUCCUUCAAAUUCAGUUAAAUUAUCGAGUCCGACUGAAAUACUAUCGAUAGUACCAAGCGUUUAGUGCUAUCAAGUUUUCCGCAGUUAGAUUUAACCCUUUAACUAUUUUUACCCAUUAGAUUAUACUAUUAAAUCAAUAACUCACUCAACCCUAGACGGCCAAUCAUUCUAACCGUAUAUUUUGUUCAUCCAAAGGCUAAAAACCUGAUAGCACGAAGAGCUUGAUACUAUUGAUAGGAUUCUGAUUUUACUUUUAAAUUAUCAAAACUAUCCAUACUAUUUAUAUUUCAAAAAAAAGUAUGGCUAAAAUACCUAUUUCACCCCUCAUUUUUAUAACUAUUAUAGUACAUAUUUUAUUACCAAGAUAAUAUGUUUUUAGAGCAAGUGAUAAAGGACUUGAUGGUUGGUACUCGAGACUCAAGUUCGAAUCCUAGUUGUUUCAAAUUUUUACCUAAGUUUAUUUUUAAAUGAAAUAAACGAAGCGGGUAGCUACCUAUCUCUCAAAAAAAAAUAAUAUGUUUUUAUUAUAAAAAUUUUUUUACUUUAAUUUAAUUAAUUUAAAUCUCUUCAUUUUAAUGUNACGUCAUUUCACUUUCCAUUUAAUCUGGUGGCGCCACGUACGUGGCAAGAAACCGCCACCUAAGUUCCCAGUUCCAAACAACUCUCCCACUAGGGAUGCAAAGGAUCCGGGUUGGUGGAGCUCCCGCCCCGAUCCGCCCCGACGGGUAGUAAAUAGGAGAAAAUAAACGGAUUCGGGACAGAAAACGAAAUAAGUUUUAAGAUCCGAGACGGAUUCGGAGUAGAAAACGGAAGAAAUUUUGACCCGUCCCGAAUCCACCCCGACAUAAUCCGCCCCGAAUCUGCCCCGAAUAUCAUUUGUAUUUUUAAAAAAUAUUCCUAAAAAAUAAUUUAUUUAUAAAAAAAGUUCAAAAUGCAAAUAAGUUAUUACUCUCUAAUGUAUUUGAAAUAUUUGAAUUUUGUUUUGAAUUGUGAUUGAUAUUUUUAAUUUUUACCAUUAGUAUUAUUAAAUUAUAUAUAUAAUAUUAUUAA